Molecule: ribosomal RNA, 495 nt
Filed under: uncultured bacterium
Lineage: Bacteria
Description: bacterial SSU rRNA
Rfam family: Bacterial small subunit ribosomal RNA
Source: RNAcentral
AUUGAACGCUGGCGGCAUGCCUUACACAUGCAAGUCGAACGGUAACGCGGGGCAACCUGGCGACGAGUGGCGAACGGGUGAGUAAUGCAUCGGAACGUGCCCAGUAGUGGGGGAUAGCCCGGCGAAAGCCGGAUUAAUACCGCAUACGACCUACGGGUGAAAGCGGGGGACCGUAAGGCCUCGCGCUAUUGGAGCGGCCGAUGUCAGAUUAGGUAGUUGGUGGGGUAAAGGCCUACCAAGCCUUCGAUCUGUAGCUGGUCUGAGAGGACGACCAGCCACACUGGGACUGAGACACGGCCCAGACUCCUACGGGAGGCAGCAGUGGGGAAUUUUGGACAAUGGGCGCAAGCCUGAUCCAGCCAUGCCGCGUGCGGGAAGAAGGCCUUCGGGUUGUAAACCGCUUUUGUCAGGGAAGAAACGCUCCGGGCUAAUACCCUGGGGUAAUGACGGUACCUGAAGAAUAAGCACCGGCUAACUACGUGCCAGCAGCCGCGG